RNAcentral lists this ribosomal RNA (492 nucleotides) under uncultured bacterium. RNAcentral's name for it is "partial 16S ribosomal RNA". It matches the Rfam family "Bacterial small subunit ribosomal RNA", at positions 28 to 507 of the family's 1533-position model. The record is from RNAcentral.
GAUGAACGCUAGCUACAGGCUUAACACAUGCAAGUCGAGGGGAAACGACAUCGAAGGCUUGCUUUUGAUGGGCGUCGACCGGCGCACGGGUGAGUAACGCGUAUCCAACCUGCCCAUCACUUGGGAAUAACCUUGCGAAAGUAAGACUAAUACCCAAUGAUAUCCCACGAAGGCAUCGGAAUGGGAUUAAAGAUUUAUCGGUGAUGGAUGGGGAUGCGUCUGAUUAGCUUGUUGGCGGGGUAACGGCCCACCAAGGCAACGAUCAGUAGGGGUUCUGAGAGGAAGGUCCCCCACAUUGGAACUGAGACACGGUCCAAACUCCUACGGGAGGCAGCAGUGAGGAAUAUUGGUCAAUGGGCGAGAGCCUGAACCAGCCAAGUAGCGUGCAGGAAGACGGCCCUAUGGGUUGUAAACUGCUUUUAUAAGGGAAUAAAGUGGGUCACGUGUGACUUUUUGCAUGUACCUUAUGAAUAAGGACCGGCUAAUUCCGUG